RNAcentral lists this ribosomal RNA (253 nucleotides) under uncultured bacterium. Its description in RNAcentral is "partial 16S ribosomal RNA". It matches the Rfam family "Bacterial small subunit ribosomal RNA", at positions 524 to 776 of the family's 1533-position model. The record is from RNAcentral.
UACGGGGGGAGCAACCGUUGUUCGGAAUCACUGGGCGUAAAGGGCGUGUAGGCGGCUGGAUAAGUGGGAUGUUAAAUCCCCCGGCUCAACCGGGGACCUGCAUCUCAUACUGUUCAGCUCGAGCACAUCAGAGGAGACUGGAAUUCCUGGUGUAGCGGUGAAAUGCGCAGAUAUCAGGAAGAACACCCGUGGCGAAGGCGGUUCUCUGGGACGGUACUGACGCUGAGACGCGAAAGCGUGGGGAGCGAACAGG